Molecule: long non-coding RNA, 647 nt
Organism: Mauremys reevesii (Reeves's turtle)
Lineage: Eukaryota; Metazoa; Chordata; Testudines; Geoemydidae
Exons: 4
Source: RefSeq, a predicted model, not a curated record
CAGCCUCUGAAUCACUAAUUAUCUGGCUCUUUCCAACAGAGCAAUGGAGAUGCACGGAUUGCCAGAAAAGAUCAAACCAGAGCACUUCAGUGUGGAGCAGGGAGCCUCCUUGAUUAUACUCAGGCUGUGAGUUCCUGAUUGACCCUCAUAAAGGGCUGGGAUGUAGGCCGCCUUGCCUAGUAAUCAAAGCAGGAGUCCAGGCUGGGAACAAAGCCAACAGUCAGCACCAGAAUCAACUGCCAAUUACCAGCACCAGGGGUCAAGCCAGAAUAAAAACCAGGAAUCGAAGCUGAGGGUCAAGGCCAAGAUCAAAUACUAACUGCCAGAGCCAAGGGUCAAGCCAGAGUCAGGGUCAGAAGUUGGAGGCUGAGGUCAGAUCCAGGACUGGUAACUGAUGACUGGAGGCAAGGUAAAAGGGCAGGAAGUGGAGGAGAGGCAAGGAUCAAGCACAGAGCAGGAGCAUGACAGCAGCAAGAGCUAAGGCAGGGUGAGGAAGGAGCCGAGCAAGAAUCAGGAACAAGGGUGGAUGCAGGAGGCGGGCACAAGCAGGCUCCCAUACAGCAACAACAGGAAAACACCUUGUCACUCAGACGAACUUCCUGUGCCUCCUUCUGGCUUAAAUAGCGUGGCUGGACCAUCAGUGGAGC